UUCCUGUGUUUUUGAUAUUCUUUAAACAAUAGUAUUUGUUUAAGAGGAUUUUGAAACAAGGUGGAUUGAUGAGGAUCUGGAUAAAUAUUUCUUUGCUGUCUGGUGUUGUUUCAAUCCAGAUUAAAUAAAUUAGAACUAAUUCAGUUAAUGUGUAGGAUAGGUUGUAUGAGUGGUAGUAGCUGAUGUAUAGGAAUGUAGACCUUACUUUGACCUAUUCUUGGAAACAAUUGAUAGUUAGUUUAUUAAGUUUAUUCACUUCAGGAUACAAAUUUUGGGGAAUCAAGAACCUUGAUUUGACGAAUAGAGUGUUUUUUUUUACUUCUUUUUACAACAAUUUUUGUAUUGUUUUUUGGUGUCUCAACAAUAUAUAUCUUCACAUACCAGGAAAAGAGUGUGUGUGUUUUUGUGUGCAACUCCAUUAACAAAUUAUCUAUCUAUCUAUCUAUCUAUAUCUCAAUAAGUAUGUACCUUCAACAAAAACAGAACCCUAAAAAACCCAUUUGUCUCCUUGGCUUUCUCCCUCCAAUACUAGAAAAAUAAGCACAAAAACCAUGCAUCUCCAUCACUUUUCUGCACCCCAUUGCCUGCACGAAACCCUAAAUAUCUAUUCUUCUCCAUGACUUUCCCAUCAUUUCAUGGAAUGGAACCCUAAAAACCAUGCAAAUCCUGCCACUUUCCCUUUCUUUGAUGGUGUGCAGAAUGCUAAAAACCUGUGUUUGUAUCCAUGCAUUUAAGGAGGGUGAUGGUGCUUCCCCAAAGUUGGAUAACAACAAAACUAACUAUAGGAAACUUUGACUGCCACUGCAAGCCACAACUCCUACAAAUGAAACAAGAGAGAGAGGCUGGUGGGUGGUAUUAUUUAUUUAUCUACUUACUUACUUAUUAAUACCACCAUCUUAUUAUACUUUGUUUUGUUUUUUGUUCAUUGCUUUAUGUUGGCACGAGACAUGAGAGAUUUGAGGAGAUUGGGUUUUCUGGCUGCUGAUCUGACACUGCAACAAAAUUCAAGGAUUUGAUCAGAUACUAUAUUCCAUUGCCUUCUCCACAUGCCGAGAAGAAAAAAAGGAACCCCAAAAAGAGAAAGCCAAAAGGUGGGUUCCACUUUCCUUUUGACUUUGUUGUGUUUUGUUCCCUUGUUCCCCUUCCCCUAUUUCAAAGAGCCCAGAGCAUUAGACCACAAUCCAAAUUACAGAUGGGGGAGGGAAAUUAAAAUAAAAAAAGGGAAAAAAUAGAGGCAAAUUUGGUUGACUGAAAAUAUGAUGGUAUAUACUUUUGAUAGAAAUGGAAGCAAUAUUUAUUUUUAAUUAAUCUUUCUUAAUAAUAUUUUUAAAAAAAUCAUGUACAAAUCUUCAAAGGGUGGUGGGGAAAUUGACAUCAUAUGGAUUUGAUUUUUGGUGCCCUUGUGAUACACAGCCUUUCAAGGAAGGAGCAGCCAUUUGAAGAACCAAGCUUCACACCCCAUAUUCAGAAUGAGCCACAGUUCAUCCAUAGUAAAAUUAAAUAAAACAUCAGCAAUGUAAAAACCUACUGAUAGCAGUGGUACAUUUCAAUAGAGUUGCACACAUACAUGAAUGAAAGCAGAGACAGGAUGAAUGCCAUUGUGCGAGGGUUUUCCAUCAGGCAGAUCACAUGUAUCUCUGUUUGUGUGUGUAUGAGUGUGUGUUUAUAUUUGUAUAUGAAUAUAUAUAUAUAUAUAUAUAUAUGAAUGUGUAUACAUAUAUGAAUGAGUGAGCAAUCAGAUUCAACAAGUAAUCCGUGUGUGUGCAAGCAGGUUUUGCUUUCUUCUCAUUGGGCACAGAGCACCGGGCAUGGAAUUAUAAGACAUAGUUCCAGGGGGUUUGCCAAUAAUAAUGGGUCCACUGCACCAUUGCUUUAUGGAUGAAUGAAUGAAAAAGGAGCAUUUGCCUCAUCCACAAACACCAAAAAGCUCACUUUGACACCUCUUCUGUGCAUGGAAACCCUAAUAAUGUGAGGACUGGGGUGAAGUUUUGGGGCAGGACAGCUGCGUUUUUUUAUACUUUGGGCCUUGUCUUUGUGUACAGAGUGAAAAGAGGACAAUGGGUUUAGUUUGAGUAUAUUUAUCUGCAGUUAUUCUUUUUGGACAUAUAGAAAAAGAAUAGUUUGUAGUGCAUACUUGAAAAAUAUCCCAUUAAAAAUGGAAAUGUAACAAUGCCAACAUUUAAUGUGAUUUCAUUCUUUGGAA
This 2203-nucleotide long non-coding RNA is filed under the name Physcomitrium patens. Its description in RNAcentral is "long non-coding RNA (PPAT_LNC003977)". The record is from RNAcentral. Lineage: Eukaryota; Viridiplantae; Streptophyta; Bryopsida; Funariales; Funariaceae.